Cyprinus carpio (common carp) is the source of this 574-nucleotide long non-coding RNA. RefSeq lists it as uncharacterized. Lineage: Eukaryota; Metazoa; Chordata; Actinopteri; Cypriniformes; Cyprinidae. The transcript has 3 exons. The record is from RefSeq and is a predicted model, not a curated record.
CAGGGUUUCCAGAUGUAAUUGGGUGCAUUGAUGGCACUCACAUUCCUAUUAAAGCUCCAUCAAUAAAUGAGGGAGACUAUGUUAAUAGGAAAUCUAUUCAUAGUAUCAAUGUGCAGGUAAUAUGUGAGGCAACCCAAAUCAUCACCAAUGUCGAGGCAAAAUGGCCAGGAUCUGUGCAUGAUGCCAGAAUUUUCCGCGAGUCAUCAUUAUGCCAGACAUUUCAGCAGGGACAGUACAAUGGUUACUUGCUGGGGGACAGAGGAUACCCUUGUCUGCCCUAUUUAAUGACACCCUACCCUGAACCUGAGCCUGGACCACAGACACGGUUUAACCUGGCUCACAGCCGAACACGGGCCAAGGUGGAGAUUACUAUAGGAAUCCUCAAAUCUCGGUUUCAGUGUCUGCGUGGGCUCCGGGUUAGUCCAGAGAGGGCAUGCGACAUUAUUGUGGCUUGUGUUGUGCUUCACAAUAUUGCCACUAUAAGAGGAGAGAGCCACCCUCCUUGUAUUGAAGAAGAUGGCCCAGAGGAACACCGACAGAUUUUAGAGGCCAACAGAGACGGAAGACUUUUGAG